RNAcentral lists this long non-coding RNA (2631 nucleotides) under Homo sapiens (human). RNAcentral describes it as "HSALNT0294169". Lineage: Eukaryota; Metazoa; Chordata; Mammalia; Primates; Hominidae. The record is from RNAcentral.
ACCGCUCUACGCCGCAUUGAUCCAUGCAGGAAUAAUUGUAAAGAGUUUCCAGGAUUUCUUUUACUAUCAGAAAAACAACACCCUGGAAUCACUUUGCCUGUGGUUUAUAGUGAAAACAGCCGUCUGAGCAUUUUGAGCCAAUAGCUUUGGAUAAGGUGUGUAAUUUGUUUGGUGCUAAGUUCUGUGACAUGAAAAGUAAAUUACAAUUGGGAAGGAUAGUGGGAAGAGGGAUACCAUUAUUAAAGAAAAAGAAGAAAAGAAAAAAAUAUUGUUUCAGCAGCAAGGAUUUUUGAGGUUUAAUUCUUCUCCCCACUCCAAAUUUGCUGGCUUGAGGCUACUCAUCGCUUCAUUGCCACCCAUAAAAGCACAUGGAUUUUAAGCUGAUGAAAAAGAUGGACAUGGAUUAUGCCUUUUCCUCUGCCAAUGCUAUGAGAAUACCUUGGUUCACUAGAAGAAAUGCUGACAGGUGGUUUCCCUGCACAAGCCCUCUUCUUUUGUGUGGCACCAUGUGAGAUGUGCCUUUCACCUUCCACCAUGAUUGUCAGACCUCCCCAGCCACAUGGAACCCACUUGUCCCAACUACCUGCUUCUGGCUUUGUUUUGCCUAAAGCUGUGAAAAAUAUUAUUCAAACACAAGAUGGCAAACUGAAGAAUGAAAAAUCAACAUGUAUCAAAUGAUGAAGGGGAAAGAUGGAAGAAGCCUGGGUUCUUGAUGGCAUCAUUGAACCCUCCAUGCAAGGCCAGCAACCAAGCUGUCAUUAACUAAAGCUAGAUGCAUUAUUAUGUUCAAGGAAUGAACCCUUAUCUGAUUAAAUUACUGCCAUCUAGGUUUUCUGUUACCUGCAGAUGAGCCAUCCUGAUGCUCAAUAUCAUAGAAUUAUUCUGAAAGUUAAAUGAAAUAAUGCAUGCAUAAUUGCUUAAAUAACUACAGAUAUACUGUUUAAAGAGGUAACACAGGGCAAUGGAAAAGGCAUUGGACUUGAACUCUGACUAAUUUAGCCUGGAAUCCUAGAAAGUCACCUUAUUAGACCUUCUUCAUAGGAAAAUGUAAACAAUCUCUGUGUGUCAGUUGUGUCAUCUCUAAAAUGGAAAUAAUUAGCAUCUUGGAGGAUUGUUGUAAAGGGUAAGGGAGAUAAGAUAUGGGAAAGCUCAUGGCAUAGGGCUUGAUACAUGUUAUUCAAUAAACAUAAGUUAGGGAGAAAAAUUAGCAAGUAGCAGUGUGGUCUGCCCCAAGUGAACACACUUCCUUUAUCUGAGUCAGAUUACACUGCCCCUUGAACCUUUACAACACUAAACAAAAUUUAGAGCACUAGGAGAUACUUCAGAGUGUCCUAUUAAUAAAAGUAGUGGAAGGAUAGUUUUUUUUUUUCUAAUUCUGUGAAGAACAUUAAUGGUAGUUUAAUGGGACUGGCAUUGAAUCUAUAGAUUACUUUGAAAAGUAUGGCCAUUUUCACAAUAUUGAUUCUUCCUAUCCAUGAGCAUGGAAUGUUUUUCCUUUUGUUUGUGUCCUCUCUGAUUUCUUUGAGGAUCAGUUUGUAGUUCUCUUUGAAGAGGUUCCUCACUUUCCUUCUCAGCUGUAUUCCUAGGUAUCUUUUUUUUUUGUAGCAAUUGUGAAUGGGAGUUCAUUCAUGAUUCAUCUCUCUGCUUGCCUAUUGAUGGUGUAUAGGAAUGCUAGAGAUUUUGCACAUUGAUUUUGUAUCCUGAGGCUUUGCUGAAGUUGCUUCUCAGCUUAAGAAGCUUUUGGGCUGAGAAAAUGGGGUUUUUUUAGGUAUAGGAUCACGCCAUCUGUAAACAAAGAUAAUUUGACUUCCUCUCUUUCUAUUUACCCUUUAUUUCUUUAUCUUGUCUGAUUGCCCUGGCCAGAACUUCCAAUACUAUAUUGAAUAAGAGUGGUAAAAGAGGGCAUUCUUGUCUUCUACCACUUUAAAAGCCAUAUGGAACCAAAAAUGAGCCCAAAUAGCCAAGACAAUCCUAAACAAAAAGAACAAACCUGGAGGCACCAUACUACCCAACUUCGAACUAUGCUACAAGGUUAUAGUAACCAAAACAGCAUGAUACUGGUACAAAAACAGGCACAUAGACCAAAGGAAUGAAAAGAGAACUCAGAAAUAAGACUGCACACCUACAACCAUCUGAUCUUCAACAAACCUGACAAAAACAAGCAAUGGGAAAAGAACUCUUUAUUUAAUAAAUGAUACUGGGAGAACUGGUUAGCCAUACACAGAAAAUUGAAAUUGGACCCCUUCCUUACACCUUAUACAGAAAUUAACUCAAGAUGAAUUGAAGACUUAAAUGUUGAUAUGGUUUGGCUCUGGAUCCCCACCCAAAUCUCACCUUGAAUUGUAAUCUCCAUAAUCCCCACAUGUCAAGGGCAGGACAGGGUGGAGGUAAUUGGAUCAGGGUGGUGGUUUCCCCCAUGCUGUUCUCAUGAUAAUGAGUGAGUUCUCAUGAGAUCUGAUGGUUUUAUAAGGGGCUCUUUUCCCUUUGCUUAACACUUCUCCUUCCUUCCACCUUGUGAGGAAACUGCUUUGCUUCCCCUUUACCUUCUGCCAUGAUUGUAAGUUUCCUGAGGCUUUCCCAGCCAUGCUGAACUGUGAGUUAAUUAAACCUCUUUCAUUUCUAUUAAUAAAU